UUCCAGACUCCUACGGGAGGCAGCAGUGGGGAAUAUUGCACAAUGGGGGAAACCCUGAUGCAGCGACGCCGCGUGAGUGAAGAAGUAUUUCGGUAUGUAAAGCUCUAUCAGCAGGGAAGAUAAUGACGGUACCUGACUAAGAAGCCCCGGCUAACUACGUGCCAGCAGCCGCGGUAAUACGUAGGGGGCAAGCGUUAUCCGGAUUUACUGGGUGUAAAGGGUGCGUAGGUGGCAUGGCAAGUCAGAAGUGAAAGCCCGGGGCUCAACCCCGCGGACUGCUUUUGAAACUGUCAGGCUGGAGUACAGGAGAGGUAAGCGGAAUUCCUAGUGUAGCGGUGAAAUGCGUAGAUAUUAGGAGGAACACCAGUGGCGAAGGCGGCUUACUGGACUGUAACUGACACUGAGGCACGAAAGCGUGGGGAGCAAACAGGAUUAGAUACCCUAGUAA
Molecule: ribosomal RNA, 448 nt
Filed under: uncultured bacterium
Lineage: Bacteria
Description: bacterial SSU rRNA
Rfam family: Bacterial small subunit ribosomal RNA
Source: RNAcentral